AACGAACGCUGGCGGCAUGCCUAACACAUGCAAGUCGAACGAGACCUUCGGGUCUAGUGGCGCACGGGUGCGUAACGCGUGGGAACCUGCCCUUAGGUUCGGAAUAACUCCCCGAAAGGGGUGCUAAUACCGGAUAAUGUCUUCGGACCAAAGAUUUAUCGCCCUUGGAUGGGCCCGCGUUGGAUUAGCUAGUUGGUAGGGUAAAAGCCUACCAAGGCGACGAUCCAUAGCUGGUCUGAGAGGAUGAUCAGCCACACUGGGACUGGGACACGGCCCAGAAUCCUACGGGAGGCAGCAGUGCUGAAUAGUGGACAGCGGGCGAAAGGCUGAUGCAGCAAGGCCGCGUGAGUGAUGAAGUCCUGAGGGUUGUAAAGCGCUUUUACCCGGGAUGAUAAUGACAGUACCGGGAGAAUAAGCUCCGGCUAACUACGUG
RNAcentral lists this ribosomal RNA (433 nucleotides) under uncultured bacterium. RNAcentral's name for it is "partial 16S ribosomal RNA". It matches the Rfam family "Bacterial small subunit ribosomal RNA", at positions 29 to 507 of the family's 1533-position model. The record is from RNAcentral.